AUGGUCAAGCUAAGAAGAGCGCAAGGGGAAUGCCUUGGCACUGAGAGCCGAAGAAGGACGCGACUAACUGCGAUAAGCCACGGGGAGCCGUAAGUAGGCAUUGAUCCGUGGAUUUCCGAAUGGAGCAAUCCGGCUGGAGUCAUGUCCAGUCACCGUAUUCUGAAUCCAUAGGGAUACGGGGGGAACCGCCUGAACUGAAACAUCUAAGUAGGGCGAGGAAAAGAAAUCAACCGAGAUUCCGCUAGUAGUGGCGAGCGAACGCGGAAGAGGCCAAACCAGAGGUAGCAAUACCUUUGGGGUUCGGACAGCGCACGGUAUGGAAGGUAUCUAGCAGAAUGGCAUGGGAAGGCCAACGAGACAGGGUGAGAGUCCCGUAUGCGAAAGAGAAGAUCCGCCAGCUGAAUCCAGAGUACCGCCGGACACGUGAAACCCGGUGGGAAGACGGGGGGACCAUCCUCCAAGCCUAAAUACUACUCAGUGACCGAUAGUGAAGAGUACUGUGAAGGAAAGGUGAAAAGCACCCCGGGAGGGGAGUGAAAGAGAACCUGAAACCUUGUGCUUACAAGCACCGAGAGCCCGUCAACGGGUGAUCGGGUACCUUUUGUAGAAUGGUCCGGCGAGUGAAUGUAACUGGCAAGGUUAAGGACUUAAGGUCUGAAGCCGCAGCGAGAGCAAGUCUUAAUAGGGCGUAAGAAGUCAGUUGUAUUCGACCCGAAACCGGGUGACCUACCCAUGUCCAGGUUGAAGUGGAGGUAAAACUCCAUGGAGGACCGAACCGACUCCCGUUGAAAUGGUAGCGGAUGAGGUGUGGGUAGCGGAGAAAUUCCAAUCGAACCCGGAGAUAGCUGGUUCUCUCCGAAAUAGCUUUAGGGCUAGCCUCAUAUUAGAUUACUGGAGGUAAAGCACUGAAUGGGCUAGGGGCCGAGAGGUUACUGAACCCUAUCAAACUCAGAAUGCCAGAUAAUUGAUGUAUGGGAGUCAGACAGUGUGAGAUAAGUUUCAUUGUCAAAAGGGAAACAGCCCAGACCCACAGCUAAGGUCCCAAAGUAUGGUUAAGUGGAAAAGGAUGUGGGGUUGCUUAGACAACCAGGAUGUUGGCUUAGAAGCAGCCACUCAUUAAAAGAGUGCGUAAUAGCUCACUGGUCGAGUGACCCUGCGCCGAAAAUUUAACGGGGCUAAAUCAUACACCGAAGCUUGGGAUUGACAGAUAUUCUUCAUGUUUUCAGGCAGGAUAGGAAAGAGAGAAAAUCUGAUGACGCCGAAGAAUGAGGCGGCAUUAAAUUUCUGUUCAAGUAAAAGCAUGAAGAUGUGAAGAAUAUCUGUCGAUGGUAGGAGAGCGUUCUAUGUGGGGAGAAGUCUGAGCGGAAGCGCAGGUGGACUGCAUAGAAGUGAGAAUGCCGGAAUGAGUAGCGCGAAAUAUGUGAGAAUCAUAUUGGCCGAAAGUCUAAGGUUUUUGGAGGAAGGUUCGUCCGCUCCAAGUAAGUCGGGAGCUAAGGCGAGGCCGAAAGGCGUAGUCGAUGCACAUACGGUAGAUAUUCCGUAACCGCCGAAGGAUUAAAGCAAAGGGACACCUGCGAAGCGUGUAACCCGGGCGAUGGUUGCCCCGGGCGUAAGGGACCGAAAUUUAGUAGGGAAGUACAUGUAGAGCAGGGCGAGAAAAGCUUUGUGUAUAUCCAAGGCGCCCGUACCGCAAACCGACACAGGUAGAUAGGAAGAGAAUUCUAAGGCCAACGGGAGAAGGGUAGUUAAGGAACUCGGCAAAUUGGUCCCGUAACUUAGGGAAAAGGGACGCUCCAGAGAUGGAGCCGCAGUGAAUAGGCCCAGGCGACUGUUUAGCAAAAACACAGGUCUCUGCCAAAUCGAAAGAUGAAGUAUAGGGGCUGACACCUGCCCGGUGCUGGAAGGUUAAGAGGAGAUGUGCAAGCAUUGAAUUGAAGCCCCAGUAAACGGCGGCCGUAACUAUAACGGUCCUAAGGUAGCGAAAUUCCUUGUCGGGUAAGUUCCGACCCGCACGAAUGGUGUAACGAUCUGGGCACUGUCUCAACUACCCGCCCGGCGAAAUUGUAGUACCGGUGAAGAUGCCGGUUACCCGCGACAAGACGGAAAGACCCCAUGGAGCUUUACUGUAGCUUGAUAUUGGGUUUCGGUAAUUUAUGUACAGGAUAGGCGGGAGACUAGGAAGCCAGUACGCCAGUAUUGGUGGAGUCGUCCUUGGGAUACCGCUCUUAAGUUGCUGGAAUUCUAACCUGCGGCCGUGAAUCCGGCCGGGGGACAUUGUCAGGUGGGCAGUUUGACUGGGGCGGUCGCCUCCAAAAGAGUAACGGAGGCGCUCAAAGGUUCGCUCAGCACGGACGGAAACCGUGCUUUUGAGUGUAAACGCAGAAGCGAGCCUGACUGCGAGGGUGACGGCCCGAGCAGAAACGAAAGUUGGAGUUAGUGAUCCGGCGGUAUGUGAAUGGAAAUGCCGUCGCUCAACGGAUAAAAGCUACCCUGGGGAUAACAGGCUGAUCUCCCCCAAGAGUCCACAUCGACGGGGAGGUUUGGCACCUCGAUGUCGGCUCAUCACAUCCUGGGGCUGUAUUCGGUCCCAAGGGUUCGGCUGUUCGCCGAUUAAAGUGGUACGCGAGCUGGGUUCAGAACGUCGUGAGACAGUUCGGUCCCUAUCUGUCGUGGGCGCAGGAUAUUUGAGGAGCUCUGUCCUUAGUACGAGAGGACCGGGAUGGACGCACCGCUGGUGCACCAGUUGUCACGCCAGUGGCACAGCUGGGCAGCUAAGUGCGGAUCGGAUAAACGCUGAAAGCAUCUAAGCGUGAAGCCGGCUCCAAGAUAAGAUAUCCCAUUCCGUAAGGAAGUAAGACCCCUUGAAGACUACAAGGUUGAUAGGCUGCGUGUGUAAGCGCCGCGAGGCGUUCAGCUUGGCAGUACUAAUAGGUCGAGGGCUUGACCUUA
RNAcentral lists this ribosomal RNA (2949 nucleotides) under [Clostridium] leptum DSM 753. RNAcentral describes it as "bacterial LSU rRNA". It matches the Rfam family "Bacterial large subunit ribosomal RNA". The record is from RNAcentral. Lineage: Bacteria; Bacillati; Bacillota; Clostridia; Eubacteriales; Oscillospiraceae.